Molecule: ribosomal RNA, 1337 nt
Filed under: Mycobacterium sp. DWMJ-1586A1
Lineage: Bacteria; Bacillati; Actinomycetota; Actinomycetes; Mycobacteriales; Mycobacteriaceae
Description: bacterial SSU rRNA
Rfam family: Bacterial small subunit ribosomal RNA
Source: RNAcentral
UCGGGGUACUCGAGUGGCGAACGGGUGAGUAACACGUGGGUGAUCUGCCCUGCACUUUGGGAUAAGCCUGGGAAACUGGGUCUAAUACCGAAUAGGACCACGCGCUUCAUGGUGUGUGGUGGAAAGCUUUUGCGGUGUGGGAUGGGCCCGCGGCCUAUCAGCUUGUUGGUGGGGUAAUGGCCUACCAAGGCGACGAACGGGUAGCCGGCCUGRGAGGGUGACCGGCCACCACUGGGACUGAGAUACGGCCCAGACUCCUACGGGAGGCAGCAGUGGGGAAUAUUGCACAAUGGGCGCAAGCCUGAUGCAGCGACGCCGCGUGAGGGAUGACGGCCUUCGGGUUGUAAACCUCUUUCAAUAGGGACGAAGCGCAAGUGACGGUACCUAUAGAAGAAGCACCGGCCAACUACGUGCCAGCAGCCGCGGUAAUACGUAGGGUGCGAGCGUUGUCCGGAAUUACUGGGCGUAAAGAGCUCGUAGGUGGUUUGUCGCGUUGUUCGUGAAAACUCACAGCUUAACUGUGGGCGUGCGGGCGAUACGGGCAGACUAGAGUACUGCAGGGGAGACUGGAAUUCCUGGUGUAGCGGUGGAAUGCGCAGAUAUCAGGAGGAACACCGGUGGCGAAGGCGGGUCUCUGGGCAGUAACUGACGCUGAGGAGCGAAAGCGUGGGGAGCGAACAGGAUUAGAUACCCUGGUAGUCCACGCCGUAAACGGUGGGUACUAGGUGUGGGUUCCUUCCUUGGGAUCCGUGCCGUAGCUAACGCAUUAAGUACCCCGCCUGGGGAGUACGGCCGCAAGGCUAAAACUCAAAGGAAUUGACGGGGGCCCGCACAAGCGGCGGAGCAUGUGGAUUAAUUCGAUGCAACGCGAAGAACCUUACCUGGGUUUGACAUGCACAGGACGCCGGCAGAGAUGUCGGUUCCCUUGUGGCCUGUGUGCAGGUGGUGCAUGGCUGUCGUCAGCUCGUGUCGUGAGAUGUUGGGUUAAGUCCCGCAACGAGCGCAACCCUUGUCCUAUGUUGCCAGCGGGUUAUGCCGGGGACUCGUAGGAGACUGCCGGGGUCAACUCGGAGGAAGGUGGGGAUGACGUCAAGUCAUCAUGCCCCUUAUGUCCAGGGCUUCACACAUGCUACAAUGGCCGGUACAAAGGGCUGCGAUGCCGUGAGGUGGAGCGAAUCCUUUCAAAGCCGGUCUCAGUUCGGAUCGGGGUCUGCAACUCGACCCCGUGAAGUCGGNUAGUCGCUAGUAAUCGCAGAUCAGCAACGCUGCGGUGAAUACGUUCCCGGGCCUUGUACACACCGCCCGUCACGUCAUGAAAGUCGGUAACACCCGAAGCC